CGGUGGUCUAGAUCUGAUGUUUUUCACAGCCGUUUUAUCGCCAGAAUCGAAGCCAGAUCUGAUGUUUAUCACUGGAAUCGAAGAAAUCAGGCUAAUUUUCGACGGAUCUGAUGUUUGUCGCUGGAAUUGAAGCCAAAUCUGAUGUUUAUCGCCGGCGAUAAAACGGUGGUCCAGAUCUAAUUUCCGACCAGGUAGGUAUGAAGUUUGAGACGUCGUAAACGAGGAAAGUGGA
RNAcentral lists this long non-coding RNA (232 nucleotides) under Helianthus annuus (common sunflower). Its description in RNAcentral is "sRNA HanXRQr2_Chr16g0763521". The record is from RNAcentral. Lineage: Eukaryota; Viridiplantae; Streptophyta; Magnoliopsida; Asterales; Asteraceae.